GUUAAGCGACUAAGCGUACACGGUGGAUGCCCUGGCAGUCAGAGGCGAUGAAGGACGUGCUAAUCUGCGAUAAGCGUCGGUAAGGUGAUAUGAACCGUUAUAACCGGCGAUUUCCGAAUGGGGAAACCCAGUGUGUUUCGACACACUAUCAUUAACUGAAUCCAUAGGUUAAUGAGGCGAACCGGGGGAACUGAAACAUCUAAGUACCCCGAGGAAAAGAAAUCAACCGAGAUUCCCCCAGUAGCGGCGAGCGAACGGGGAGCAGCCCAGAGCCUGAAUCAGUAUGUGUGUUAGUGGAAGCGUCUGGAAAGGCGCGCGAUACAGGGUGACAGCCCCGUACACAAAAAUGCACAUGCUGUGAGCUCGAUGAGUAGGGCGGGACACGUGGUAUCCUGUCUGAAUAUGGGGGGACCAUCCUCCAAGGCUAAAUACUCCUGACUGACCGAUAGUGAACCAGUACCGUGAGGGAAAGGCGAAAAGAACCCCGGCGAGGGGAGUGAAAAAGAACCUGAAACCGUGUACGUACAAGCAGUGGGAGCACGCUUAGGCGUGUGACUGCGUACCUUUUGUAUAAUGGGUCAGCGACUUAUAUUCUGUAGCAAGGUUAACCGAAUAGGGGAGCCGAAGGGAAACCGAGUCUUAACUGGG
This 648-nucleotide ribosomal RNA is filed under the name Escherichia coli. RNAcentral's name for it is "partial 23S ribosomal RNA". It matches the Rfam family "Bacterial large subunit ribosomal RNA", at positions 1 to 692 of the family's 2925-position model. Lineage: Bacteria; Pseudomonadati; Pseudomonadota; Gammaproteobacteria; Enterobacterales; Enterobacteriaceae. The record is from RNAcentral.